Molecule: ribosomal RNA, 852 nt
Filed under: uncultured Gammaproteobacteria bacterium
Lineage: Bacteria; Pseudomonadati; Pseudomonadota; Gammaproteobacteria
Description: bacterial SSU rRNA
Rfam family: Bacterial small subunit ribosomal RNA
Source: RNAcentral
AUGCUUAACACAUGCAAGUCGAACGGAAACGAUACUAGCUUGCUAGUAGGCGUCGAGUGGCGGACGGGUGAGUAACGCGUAGGAAUCUGCCUGAUAGUGGGGGAUAGCCCGGAGAAAUUCGGAUUAAUACCGCAUAAUCUAUUCGUAGUAAAGUGGGGGACUUUCGAGCCUCACGCUAUCAGAUGAGCCUGCGUAAGAUUAGCUUGUUGGUAGGGUAAAAGCCUACCAAGGCAACGAUCUUUAGCUGGUCUGAGAGGAUGAUCAGCCACAUCGGGACUGAGACACGGCCCGAACUCCUACGGGAGGCAGCAGUGGGGAAUAUUGGACAAUGGGGGCAACCCUGAUCCAGCAAUACCGCGUGUGUGAAGAAGGCCUGAGGGUUGUAAAGCACUUUCAAUUGUGAAGAAAAGUUAACGGUUAAUAACCGUUAGCCUUGACGUUAACUUUAGAAGAAGCACCGGCUAACUCCGUGCCAGCAGCCGCGGUAAUACGGAGGGUGCAAGCGUUAAUCGGAAUUACUGGGCGUAAAGCGUGCGUAGGUGGUUUAUUAAGUCAGAUGUGAAAGCCCCGGGCUUAACCUGGGAACUGCAUUUGAAACUGGUAAACUAGAGUAUGGUAGAGGAAAGUGGAAUUUCUGGUGUAGCGGUGAAAUGCGUAGAUAUCAGAAGGAACAUCAAUGGCGAAGGCAGCUUUCUGGACCAAUACUGACACUGAGGUACGAAAGCGUGGGUAGCAAACAGGAUUAGAUACCCUGGUAGUCCACGCCGUAAACGAUGAUAACUAGCCGUUGGGGGGAUUUACCCUUUAGUGGCGAAGCUAACGCGUUAAGUUAUCCGCCUGGGGAGUACGGCC